Molecule: long non-coding RNA, 310 nt
Filed under: Glycine max (soybean)
Lineage: Eukaryota; Viridiplantae; Streptophyta; Magnoliopsida; Fabales; Fabaceae
Description: long non-coding RNA (GMAX_LNC003697)
Source: RNAcentral
CCUUUGACUGGUAUCUUUGAGUCGUCUCCAAAUGAGACAUCGCCAGUUGCCGCUUCAUUGAUCUCCACGAACAUGCUUUGAUCGCUGCACAUGUGGUUGCUUGCACCGGUGUUGAGGUACCACUUGUUUCUUUUCUCUUCAAAUUUGUUUUGGCACGCGAGUAGCAAAGUUUCUUCUUCUCCGCCUUUUUCUUCUACAAAGUUAGCUUUCUCUUCAACCUUCUUCGAGAAUCUACACUCGGAUACGUAGUGACCAAUCUUGUUGCAAUUGAAGCAUUUGAUUUGUGAUUUGUCAUACCUCGACCAUGAAU